UCAGGGCAUCCCCCAGAGUGAACAG
RNAcentral lists this unclassified non-coding RNA (25 nucleotides) under Mus musculus (house mouse). Its description in RNAcentral is "oocyte_clustered_small_RNA5805". The record is from RNAcentral. Lineage: Eukaryota; Metazoa; Chordata; Mammalia; Rodentia; Muridae.